This 1215-nucleotide ribosomal RNA is filed under the name Triticum aestivum (bread wheat). RNAcentral's name for it is "partial small subunit ribosomal RNA". Lineage: Eukaryota; Viridiplantae; Streptophyta; Magnoliopsida; Poales; Poaceae. The record is from RNAcentral.
AUGGCCGCCAGUGAGGAGGGGGUGCGGGUGGUAGAGUCCUGCUUUGUAAAGCCGGCCUCAGACACACCGAGAAAAGCGAUCUGGCUCUCGCCACUCGACAUCAUGCUGGCCAGAAGAGGCUACACUCCACUCAUCCACUUCUACCGCCCUUGUGUCGACGAAACCAGUACCCAACACUUCUUUGACGUGGCUAGGUUGAAGACUGCGUUGAGCAAGGCCCUUGUGGCCUUCUACCUCAUGGCCGGCCGGCUUAGGCUGGGUGCCCAUGGCAGGUUGGAGAUUGACUGCAAUGGUAAGGGCAUGCUCUUUCUUGUGACCUACUCUCGUCUCACCAUCAAUGACUUUCGCGACUUCAAGCCAUCACCAAAGCUAAGGAGGUUGUUUGUUCCCCGCAUGGACGACUCAUCCAACAUCCUCUGCGCCACCCAGGUAACAUUCUUCAAGUGUGGUGGAGUGGCCUUAGGGACGGCAACGCACCAAGGCGCUAUGGACGGAACUGCGGCGUUUCACUUCUUCCAGACAUGGUCAGCCUUCUCCAGGGAUGGCGACCGGGAUGUGGUGAAGCUCCCCUACCUUGACCGCACCCUCUUGUGCGCGCGCGACCCACCCAUUAUUCAUCCGGACACCCUCUCCCUAUUCUGCCUCAAGACAACAAACUUGUCCCAGCCGCCGGCGCCAAGGCCUGUCGUUGUCAACGAGGUUUUCACCCUCCGCAAGGAUCAAAUUUCCGCUCUUAAGCACAUGUGUGGCGGCGGCGGCGUGAGCACCUUCAGCGCCGUGAGCGCAUACAUGUGGCGGUGCAUGUGCUUAGCCCGGCGGCUACUGCCAGACUCCACGACGCGCCUAGAGUUCCCGGCCAACUUCCGACGCGGCAUUGCGCCACCGCUCCCGGACGUCUACUUCGGCAACGCGAUGUUGCAAGUAAGUGUCGCCGACAAAACAUGGGACGUCGUCUCAGGCAAUCUAGCCCAGGUCGCACACCGGAUCAGAGACACUCUCAGCCGGGUGACCGACGAGCUGGUGCGUUCGGCGGUCGACUACCUCGAGCUCGACCUGGCAGAGAGGGACAACCGCCCGGCUAUCGGCGUUCUGCCAGCGACGGACCUGUGUGUGGUCAGCUGGCUCGGCAUGCCCUUGUACGAUGUGGAUUUCAGCUGGGGAAAGCGUUCGCUAUGUUGCGUGCCGAGCAAAACCGCGGAGGUUUCGUGCUCAUGA